UUACUUUGUGUUCUAUGGUGGUGGGUUACUUUACCUUCUAUGGUGGUGGGUUACUUUACCUUCUAUGGUGGUGGGUUACUUUGUGUUCUAUGGUGGUGGGUUACUUUGUGUUCUAUGGUGGUGGGUUACUUUGUGUUCUAUGGUGGUGGGUUACUUUGUGUUCUAUGGUGGUGGGUUACUUUGUGUUCUAUGGUGGUGGGUUACUUUACCUUCUAUGGUGGUGGGUUACUUUACCUUCUAUGGUGGUGGGUUACUUUGCGUUCUAUGGUGGUGGGUUACUUUACCUUCUAUGGUGGUGGGUUACUUUGCCUUCUAUGGUGGUGGGUUACUUUGUGUUCUAUGGUGGUGGGUUACUUUGUGUUCUAUGGUGGUGGGUUACUUUGCCUUCUAUGGUGGUGGGUUACUUUGCGUUCUAUGGUGGUGGGUUAGAGUACAUUGAAUAAUACAAAAAAAAAAACUGUGAUUAUACUCUAUUGAUAGGUUAGUGGGAUAUUUUUAACCUUUUUUCCGCCAGUCGAGUUGUCUGAAAGUGCAUCGCUAUGCACCAGGUAGUGCCUCCCUUUCUCCACUUCGCUCUCUCUUUUUCCUGUUUUUCAUCAAGUCCACACUUUAAUAUCAUUGACGUCCACCACAUUAGCUCGAUGUUACAUGUAUCGCAGCAAGCUUUUAUUUACUCUGAUGCUAUGAACCUAAUAUUGAUGCCGUGUGUCCAUGUGAUUCUAUCCAUUUCGACUAAUAUGUGUACAGUCUAUAGACUACACUAGCUUCUUGUGUAAAGUAGCAGCUAACAUCCUCCGUUAUGCUUUUUUGUAUAGCUGUUUUACAGCCUGGUGUCUGUGUCAGAAACCUAUACAGUAGGAACCUGUAGAUGUUAUGAAGUCGCACAUCCUGGGGACUUGUGGUUUAUUGUUGCUGUGACCAUUCUUUCACACCCAGAUGACCACAAACUGCUAUCUGAAACGAGAAUAGUCCAAAGUGAAUCAAGGUGGCACUGCCGACUGAAGCAAAGUGGCUCUUCAGUGCUACGUUGGUCUAGCAGCCGUAGGAGAUCGACAAUUUCAAACUAAAGUUGCCUGUUGUCUCAUAGUCUGAGUGUUCUAUGCUUUUGUACGUCCUUUUGCUUUAUUGAAAACCAAGCGUUAGUGUUGUGUUUACAGCAACAUUAUGUGUGAGUGCAGCAGACCAGCCAUGGCCAGACAGCCAAUUGGAUCAUGUCCUACUGUUGUUCCUUGUUUGUAUGGCGAGGUUCGUGUUUUGGUCAAACACAAUUCUCCCAUCUAACACAAAGUGUUGGGUUUUUAUGCAUGCCUUAGGCCUGCCAACCUACAGAGCAUGCUCAGAUAGCCACAGCAAGGGAGCAACAUGCAAGACAUGGCAUAAUCACACAUGAUGUUCCCCAACUGAUGUUAAUAAGUGCUUAUAUCCUCAAUUAUGAACAUAUCUUCCUAUAUCCUUCCUAUUAGGAAUAGAUUACGUAUAUACUGAAGUGCAAUAAUUGAGAGUUGAUUGGUUGCAGUGGAAAAUCACACGGUUCUUUGUUUUCUGUUUCUAGAAUGCUGAAACUUAAAUACAUCCUAUCACAAGAUAAAUACUAUGAUCUAAUUAAAAUACAACCUAUCUCUGGGUUUCAUAUUGUGGAUCCGUUUUUUUUACAUUUUUGUCAUAUAGCAGACACUCGUUUCCUGAGCGACUUACAUGAGCAAUUAAGGUUAAGUGCCUUGCUCCAGGUCACAUCUAUAGAUGUUUUUUUUCUCACCUUGUUGGCUCGGGGAUUCAAACCAGCAAUCUUUUGGUUAUUGGCCCGACGCUCUUAACCACUAGGCUACCUGCCGACCCAGUCGUGGUCAUCUUGGUGUGUGUUGUAUGCAAUUUUUUACUUUGGUGUACACUGGUAUGCCACUAUUUUGCCCGCUCGACCAAUGGAAGAAAAGAAAGCUUUAUUUAUGAAUUCUUGUUUCUAUUUGGAGGUGGAUUACAUGAGUAAGGAAUAUUAGGGCUAUUGAAUUGUCAUCCAAGUAUAAUUUAUUGUACUUAUCACAUCAUCAUUUAUCAUAUUAAGAAUGAACAGAAUGCAUAAGAUUGGUUGGGGGUUACAAUAUUAUCCCUCAAAAGAAGGAGAUGUUGUUUUGUUUGAAACUGUACUAUUGCCGCUUUAGCGUUUAUCGUCUACUAACUCUUAACUCUACUUCUUAAAACUAGGAUACUUCUUAAAACUAGGAUACAUCUCAAAACUAGGAUGCUUCUUAAAACUAGUAUACUUCUUAAAACCAGGGUACUUCAUAAAACUAAGAUGCUCCUUAAAACUAGGAUGCUUCUUAAAACUAGGACAUUUCUUAAAACUAGGGUACUUCUUACAGCUAGGAUAUCUGAAGUUCCGUCCUCAAAGAAGAAGUUAAAACGACGCAUUUGAAGUUCCGUGAGCCGGCUAUAUAUACAAAUACAGAUGGAUUCUGUUACUGCUUUGACAGCUUUUUUAUGUAGCAUUACAUUUCCUGGAUCCAAGCAUGUGGAUCUGCCUCUUCUUCACCCUGCUCUCUCUUACCCUCACUGCUUGCUAAUGACGCCCUAUCCCCCUCAGUGCAGCUCUGUAUAGGAACAGCCCUGUAUACUAAACGCCCGCCUAAAUGACUCUGCAUUGACCUUGACAUUUGAAUGGCUCUUGUCUUGUCAAUAAUGAACCUGAUUGGCAGUGGUGGGUCCGAUCGCACAGAUGUAACCCCCGUUCCAUAAUAACUGGCCUGUGAUGUCAACUCAGUGCUCACGUUAUCUUUUGAGUGUUGGAGUUCUAGUGUCUUCUAAUGUUUGUGGACACGUAAACAAUUUGUCAGAAUAAAGUGAAAUAAAUGUGGAACUUAUGCAACAUUUGCUUGUGUCCUUUGUCUGGAUUUUGUUGUCUGGCAUCGCCAAUCAUCUAAAACUCAUAGAUCCUACCUUAUACAAGGAUGCAAGGACGUGCUGGUUUGAAAUUUGUAGCAACAAAAUAACUCAACUGGACAUCUAAAAUCGUAAGUGUCUCUAAUGUAGUGUUGUUCAGACCUGUUCCUGCGGCCCCUACUAU
Molecule: long non-coding RNA, 3058 nt
Filed under: Salmo salar (Atlantic salmon)
Lineage: Eukaryota; Metazoa; Chordata; Actinopteri; Salmoniformes; Salmonidae
Description: lncRNA (ENSSSAG00000102389.1)
Source: RNAcentral